GAUGAACGCUGACAGAAUGCUUAACACAUGCAAGUCAACUUGAACUUCGGUUUGGGUGGCGGACGGGUGAGUAACGCGUAAAGAACUUGCCUCACAGCUAGGGACAACAUUUGGAAACGAAUGCUAAUACCUGAUAUUAUGAUUAUAUGGCAUCGUAUAAUUAUGAAAGCUAUAUGCGCUGUGAGGGAGCUUUGCGUCCCAUUAGCUAGUUGGAGAGGUAACAGCUCACCAAGGCGAUGAUGGGUAGCCGGCCUGAGAGGGUGAUCGGCCACAAGGGGACUGAGACACGGCCCUUACUCCUACGGGAGGCAGCAGUGGGGAAUAUUGGACAAUGGACCGAGAGUCUGAUCCAGCAAUUCUGUGUGCACGAUGAAGUUUUUCGGAAUGUAAAGUGCUUUCAGUUGGGAAGAAAAAAAUGACGGUACCAACAGAAGAAGUGACGGCUAAAUACGUG
RNAcentral lists this ribosomal RNA (454 nucleotides) under uncultured bacterium. Its description in RNAcentral is "partial 16S ribosomal RNA". It matches the Rfam family "Bacterial small subunit ribosomal RNA", at positions 28 to 507 of the family's 1533-position model. The record is from RNAcentral.